Molecule: transfer RNA, 75 nt
Filed under: Dasya binghamiae
Lineage: Eukaryota; Rhodophyta; Florideophyceae; Ceramiales; Dasyaceae
Description: tRNA-Arg
Rfam family: tRNA
About the family: Transfer RNA (tRNA) molecules are approximately 80 nucleotides in length. Their secondary structure includes four short double-helical elements and three loops (D, anti-codon, and T loops). Further hydrogen bonds mediate the characteristic L-shaped molecular structure. tRNAs have two regions of fundamental functional importance: the anti-codon, which is responsible for specific mRNA codon recognition, and the 3' end, to which the tRNAs corresponding amino acid is attached (by aminoacyl-tRNA synthetases). tRNAs cope with the degeneracy of the genetic code in two manners: having more than one tRNA (with a specific anti-codon) for a particular amino acid; and 'wobble' base-pairing, i.e. permitting non-standard base-pairing at the 3rd anti-codon position.
Source: RNAcentral
GCGUUUAUAGCUUAAUUCGGAUAAAGCAUUAAAUUACGAAUUUAAAUAGUGAAAGUUCAAAUCUUUCUAAACGUA